RNAcentral lists this long non-coding RNA (1354 nucleotides) under Cyanoderma ruficeps (rufous-capped babbler). RNAcentral's name for it is "lncRNA (ENSCRFG00000006370.1)". Lineage: Eukaryota; Metazoa; Chordata; Aves; Passeriformes; Timaliidae. The record is from RNAcentral.
GGCUCUGCCGAGGGGCUGCCGGCUCCCGCGGCGGGGUGGGGACAGCCGGGGGCGGGCUGCAGGCGGGAGGUACGAGGAGGGGAGCCGGGGGCCGGAGGCUGGAGGCUGCCGGGCGGGAGCCCAGCGCUGCGGCGGCCGCCGGACGGCAGGUCGGGGUCAGUGCCCAGAGCCACCGCCGAGUGGAGGGAGCGGCGCCUCCGCCCGCCCGAUCGCACCCAUGGGGGACUCGGUGUUCAGCGAGAGGCCGGCGCUGCGCUACGCGUUUCUAAUAGGUCAUGGCUUGGAGAUACUUUCUUUGUCAGUGCUAAACUCAACAGCAACCAAAAAGAAAACACCUCUAACAACAGAAGACUAAGGAUAUUGUAAAACACAGUGAGAUACAGAAGAAAGAUGGAAAAUUCUGUUAAUAACUUUCAUUCCAUCCUUUUGUCUUACAUCACUUACCGUUGUGUUACAAGUGGAAAAACUCCUUGAGUUUCUUUGAAAGAAAAAAGAAUUGCAUAUUUUAUGGUGGCAUUCUUCAGAUGUAUUUUACCUCUGUGUUUUUAUUACACAUUUUCAGCUGAGCUGUGAAGUAGAGCAACUGACUAAUAUGCAAGAUGUAUAUAGAGAGGGAAAAUAUUUAAAUCAUAUUUGUGUCUUUCUACAACAUUUCUGUCUGGUAGAAUAUAAUAAAGUAGCAGGAAGCUGGAAAUAGAAUUUGUAAUAGGAGGACUUGGCUUUAAAAACUUGAAAGGUUUGUCCUUAAUAAUUUGCCUUUUUUCCUUGACAAUACAAUUAUUUUUAAUAAUCCCAGUUCUUUUUCAAAUAUUGUAUUGUGAAAAGGCAAUUACUGAAAGACUUAAGCUAAUACAGAAGAACUAUUCAGUCCAGAUUGAUAAUUUUUUUCAGGGAUACAGUAAAAAAUUGUUUUUGAAUUGUAAAUGGUUCCCACAUGUAUAAAUAACAAUAGACAAAAAUGGUUCAAAAUUUUACUUUUAUGUCACACUAAUAAAGAACAAAUCAGAAGCUCAGCUGAGUAGCUGUUUGGGAAAUAAUUUUAAGAUUAAUAAGUAACAAUCUGUAUAGUUUAAUUAAUAAAUUAAUAAAUAACAAUCUGUGUAGUUUAAUUGACUCCUUCUAGUUUUGCGAGUGGUUAAGCUUUGGUGGUUUUUACUUGGCUCUACAGGAGGCAUUUUUGAGUCUCCUACCUUGCUGUCCCGUAUGUUUUAUGAUGACAGUAAAUUCGUUUUCAGUGCUCAGCUGCGUCCUGCCCAUCCUUCCUUCAGAUCCACCAGAGUGUGCCUUGAGUCCCGCAGGGUGUGGGUGUGAGCAUUCUUCUGCUCCCUCUUGGACCUGCUGCAGUUUCUGAGAG